GGCCUGGGUUCCUUAAGCCCCUGUGGAGUAGGACCCUGUUGGGCGAAGGUCACUCUCCGGACUGAACAAGCAAUUUCAAAAGGAACUCCCAUGCGGAAGUGAGAGAGGGCAGGGAAACUUGCCAGGUCAGCCAGGGCAGCACAACGUUCCGGGCAGGACCCAGGGACACAAGUCGCCCACCCAAAGGCCCUGAACUGAAUGUCUCUAGGGCCCGCAUCCUUUGGAGAACAAAGAAUGAAAGCUAACACAGGAGCCAGCAAGAGCCAGCAACCAGGGAUUGCAGGGGUGACUCGUCUGAUCAGUUUCCAACUGAUGGACAAUUGUCCAUCACGCUUCCUGGUCUGGGGACAGGAGAGGAACACAGCCUGCUUCGAUCAUCAAUAGAUGGCAGAGAAGAGGUCGCUGCAGACAUUGAGAAGAAAACCGUAGGAGUAACGUGCCACAGAGUGGCUGGAAGUGGAGAGGCGGGGUCAUUAAGGGAGAGGUAAAAGGCUUUUCCUGAUCAGCUGAGUCUCGACUGCCUUCAGCCCAGAAUAUCCCACGUGCCGAAGUGGUUCUUGGGGACCCUUCUUGACGUGGCUGCUCUGCUGGGUACACGAUGACCCCAACUGCUUCUGCCACAUCGGCCCUGGAGCGGGGGCAUUGCCCUCCCCUAAGUCUCUGAGGCCACCUUCCGGCCUUCAGCAAAGCUCUUCUGAAGGUCUGAGGAGGAGGGAAGGCUUCUGCCAAGCCCACAAUCCCUGCCUCCUCCCUGAGUCUCUGGGCAGGACAGGAAGUGCUUGCUCUUCCCCCAGCCCACCCCCCAGGGGGCUCCAGGCAGGUCCGAGGCUCAGAGGCCUGGCCCAGGCUGCCACGAGGGCUCCCAGAGAAAGAAGAUUCUCCCUGUGCCCAGCAGGGCCCUCCUCCUGCCCCAGCCCGCCCUCUCCCCAGGAUGUCUGAUGGUGCCUCUCCAUUCCCCUCAGGGUCCCAAGCCAGGAGGUGACAAUGGCCACCAUUGUGGACACCAGGUUGCCCUGUUCUUCCUGAUAGUUCCUUGUGCAGAGGAAGGAGACCCUCUCCCCAUGCCUUCCCUGACGCCCUCCGCUCCUCCACUCUGCCCCGCAGCAGACAGCCCUUCCCACCAGAGCUCACAGUCUCCAAGGAGCAGCCCAGCGUGCAGCCCAGCGCAUUCCCAGUUCACAGAGAGCCAGAGGGCGGCUCCCUCUCACGUGCCCAGGUGGGUAGAGGAAAGGGCAGAAGACUCCUCCAUGGAGGUUACACGUCUGCCACGGGCUUGCCACAUUCCAGCUCAGACUGUGGACAUUUGCAAAAACUCUCAAGGAUGGCGACCAUGCUGUGUGUGGUUUUGUUCCCCUUCCUCUGUGCACAAACACACACACACACACACGUUUGUUUCUGGUGAGUCUCUGCUUUUGAUGCAAAGAUUUUCUUAUCUAAGGAAGCACCUUCCUAUCAGAGGAAGCUAGCUCAGGAUGAACGCCGUGAGGGUGGUGUGGCAUGAUCACUCCCGGCUUCCGUUCAUUGGGUCAACACUCUUUUGUGGAGCCCUGUCAUGUGCCAGGCAUGGCCACAAGUGCUGGGAUCCCAGGCCUGCAACAGGUAUUAAUAGUAAGGGAGACAAGCAAAUACAACACCGUGAAGGAGGUCUGCAGAGGGUGUUAGGGGCACACGGCAGAGAGGAGGGCACCCACCACCCAGCUUGGGGAGGGGCUUGACGUGGGGCAGGCAAAGCGUGAGCUGAGCCUCGAGGCCCUAGGAGUUGGCCAAACCACAAAAAGGAGAAGGAGGUUCCAGGCCAAAAGAACAGCUGGUGCAAAAUCACAGAAAGAUGAUCACAUUCAAGGGACUGCAAGUUGCGUGGAAGGGCCGUGUGUGGGUUAGAGAAGAGAGCAGAGGACUCUGUGGUGGGACCAGCUUGCCAUGUUCAGGAGCCGGCAACCAUCCGCAAAGGGGCUGGGCAGCCAAGGAUGGGAUCUGAGCAAAGGUCUGAUCACCAGGUUUGCUUUAUGGGGAGGUCUCUGUGGCUGGUGUGUGGAGAAUGGAUGGAAGGUGUUGCCAUGGCAGCCAGUGAACCAAUUAGGACAUGACUGAAGUAACCUAGGUGAGAAAGGAGGAAGGCUUACACAACGAAGCAUGAGGAUGAAGAGAAAUCUACAGAUCCCAGGCAUUUAGGAAGGAGUCAAAAAAGACCCUUUCCCAGAACUGAUGGUGGGUCAUGAAUCAAUGGACGGGUGAGACCUUGGGUGGGAGUGACUGGGAUGCUUUUUGGUCGAGUGGCUUAUCCAGUGAGAGAAGAGUGGGGAAGGAGGAGCAGGGGCUUCCUCUUUUUACUCCAAAUGCUUUGGUAUUAUUUGAAACUUUGAAGAUGGGCAUGUAUACUAACAAAAAGCCUAAGAAGGAUAUUUUUUAAAUGACAACUAGUUCGAAUGUAAUUUUCUGCUGUGUGCAUCAUCUGUUAACUGUGAUAGAUCAUUUCUCGAACUAUCAUAUAAAACAUCCUUCCUUGUAAAAACCUGUUUUGAAAAGUGGACCCUGUGCGACAGCUUCAUUGGUUCUUUAUGAAAUAUUGGAAGAUUUUUUUUAACCCUCUGAUGUCAGGAAGAGAAAGAAACCCCAAGUCAGAGGUCAAUGAGUUCUGGACUAUAUCCAUCAUAUUAAAUUUUCGGCAGAAUUUUUAUAACACCUUUACACAAUCAGACGUUCUCAUUCAGUAAUUAGAGGAGAUCCUAGACUUUACCGAUGCAUCCAGCAAUUCCCGAGUGACCUUGCUGAGCACUUCCUCUCCCAGAAAAGAGAAAACUCAGUUCCAGCCAACAAGGAGGAAGUGAGAGAAGAAGUGAAAUUAACUAAGCCCUGGAAGGAAAUGGCCAAAUCACCUUCAGUUGUGUAACAAUCAGCGAAUAGAACACAGACACAAGGAGACACAGUUAAGGAGAGAAGUGUUUUAUCAUCAGUUUUAGGAGAAAAGCAUUUUUAAGCAACAUUUAAAAAACAAAGCCUAAUAAAGUGAUGGUAAGAAAAGUAAGUUUUAUGGAUGAAUAUAAAUAAUGUAUGCAAUAUAUAUCUUUAUUACUAAUCCAGAUAUUUCUGGCCCAUCAAUUUAGACAUGCUCAAUGGUAAUUUGCUAUCUGAUGUUUAACCUAGUUUUGUUUGUAUGUGUUAACUUUACACAUAUUUUUUGAUGUCGUCAUUAUGAAGAAAAGUUUGUCAAGAUAGAGGCUAGGACAUAUCGCAUUUAAAAGUUUGUUAGCUUAAACUCCCAAACCAGAAACUGACACAUUGUAACUAACUAUACUUCAAUUUAAAAAAUUAUUAAAAAUAAAAACAAAGCCUAAGAUUCCAGGGGCAGAAACCCUAAAGGGACUGUUUUGACAGCUAUAACAAAGUCUGAAGGGAAAAGGAAGGGACAGAGGAAAUCACGCAAACAGCUGCCAGGAGCAGGUGAGAAAAUGAAGAGGAGUAAGGAAGAAAGUCAGAAAAGGGAAGCGAGAACUCAGAACCCAGCUGGAAAGUCCCCGUGUCACCCUGGAAGAAGGAGAAAGAAGCAAACUCACAUAAUAUGUCACAGCCAGGUGGGAAGAGGACGGAGGACAAGGGAAUGGAGUUCACCCUAAUCCUAAGAGGACAAUAUGGAAACACUUAGGGGCAGAUACACGAUCUGCCUAAACAUCGUUCCGAAUACAACCGGAUCACUGAGAAAGGAGUUUACAGCUGGGCACUUUGGAAACACAAGAGGCGGGCAAUAAAUGUUUGUAACCAAAAAAAAAAAAAAAAAAGAUGAAAAAGCAUCUGGUGUGGGUUUGGCGAACCAAUAUUUGAGUCAUGGUUCCAACAUUUACGAGUUGUGUGGUCAUAGAUACAUUACCUCUAUUGGUCUCAGUUUCCACAUAGGUGAAAUGGGUCAAUACUAUCUACCUGAAAGUUUAUGUGACGACUAAAUAAGAUGAUGAGAAAAAAGUGCCUGGCAUUUAGUAGGUGCUCAAUAAAGGACAGCUUUUUUAUUUUUAA
This is a long non-coding RNA of Camelus dromedarius (Arabian camel), 4008 nucleotides long. RefSeq lists it as uncharacterized. NCBI's taxonomy places the organism in Eukaryota, Metazoa, Chordata, Mammalia, Artiodactyla, Camelidae. The transcript has 2 exons. The record is from RefSeq and is a predicted model, not a curated record.